UACGUAGGGUGCAAGCGUUAAUCGGAAUUACUGGGCGUAAAGCGUGCGCAGGCGGUGAUGUAAGACAGAUGUGAAAUCCCCGGGCUCAACCUGGGAACUGCAUUUGUGACUGCAUCGCUGGAGUGCGGCAGAGGGGGAUGGAAUUCCGCGUGUAGCAGUGAAAUGCGUAGAUAUGCGGAGGAACACCGAUGGCGAAGGCGAGUCCCUGGACAACUCCUGACGCUGAGGCACGAAAGCUAGGGGAGCAAACAGG
Molecule: ribosomal RNA, 253 nt
Filed under: uncultured bacterium
Lineage: Bacteria
Description: partial 16S ribosomal RNA
Rfam family: Bacterial small subunit ribosomal RNA
Source: RNAcentral